UCUUAAGUGGUAUUAUGUGGGUAAAUAUUACUGAUAUUAGUGUUUUGAAAAUUAUAUAACAUUCCUAAAAUUCUGAUCUGUCCUGGCUAUCAGCCAUAAUUCUAAAUAUUAUUUUAGGGUGUUGUAUAUCAGAAAUAAUAAGUUUCUCUGUCAAUUGUCAUUUUCAAGUCUUUUGUUGUUUACAGUCAGUUGUUUUACUCUGAUGCUUUUUGCUUUUGCAAAUACUUCUCAUCUUCAGAGACAUUCAUGGAAAAGACUCUGACACUUACUCUGGAUUACAGUUUUCUGAUAAACUUUCAGAUCACAGAACUGAACUGGAAAUACUUCUUAAACACCUGAUUGAUUGCUUCCAAAACAUAGGCCUAACUUUGGGAGCCCACCUGCAUCGCCACCUUCUAAAAUGAAUUUAACUGGACUGAUCUAUUACCAGGACUAAGAAAUGUGUUCAGUGAGAUGAAACAACCUACCACUCAGCUUCUGGAUUGUGAAACUUUUAGUUUCAAAGGCGGGACUGUAGGGACCUGAAAUUGGCCACCCCAACAUAUGUCUCUUUGGCAUCAGGAUUAUUUGAGGCUGAUUGCUUUUGAUAAACUGGGACAGGGAAGGAGGCCCUUUGUUAGGACACAUUUACAUCUGUAAGGUAAAUCUCUAUCUGUAAAGGUGCCUCCCUCUCUGUAGGCAAGGAACUGAUUGCUGCGCUCAUCUGUGAUCCCCCAGCCAGAGGCAACACACCUGCCACCCCGCGGCGUUCACUGAGACAGCAGAAAUAUCUGCCUCCAUCAAGCACUGUGCUGACAGAGCAG
RNAcentral lists this long non-coding RNA (803 nucleotides) under Equus caballus (horse). RNAcentral describes it as "lncRNA (ENSECAG00000047935.1)". Lineage: Eukaryota; Metazoa; Chordata; Mammalia; Perissodactyla; Equidae. The record is from RNAcentral.